UGGGGAAUAUUGGACAAUGGGGGCAACCCUGAUCCAGCAAUGCCGCGUGUGUGAAGAAGGUCUUCGGAUUGUAAAGCACUUUCGACGGGGACGAUGAUGACGGUACCCGUAGAAGAAGCCCCGGCUAACUUCGUGCCAGCAGCCGCGGUAAUACGAAGGGGGCUAGCGUUGCUCGGAAUGACUGGGCGUAAAGGGCGUGUAGGCGGUUUACACAGUCAGAUGUGAAAUCCCCGGGCUUAACCUGGGAGCUGCAUUUGAUACGUGUAGACUAGAGUGUGAGAGAGGGUUGUGGAAUUCCCAGUGUAGAGGUGAAAUUCGUAGAUAUUGGGAAGAACACCGGUGGCGAAGGCGGCAACCUGGCUCAUGACUGACGCUGAGGCGCGAAAGCGUGGGGAGCAAACAGGAUUAGGAUACCCUGGUAGUCCACGCUGUAAACGAUGUGUGCUAGAUGUUGGGUAACUUUGUUAUUCAGUGUCGCAGUUAACGCGUUAAGCACACCG
RNAcentral lists this ribosomal RNA (500 nucleotides) under uncultured bacterium. Its description in RNAcentral is "partial 16S ribosomal RNA". It matches the Rfam family "Bacterial small subunit ribosomal RNA", at positions 355 to 871 of the family's 1533-position model. The record is from RNAcentral.